RNAcentral lists this ribosomal RNA (292 nucleotides) under uncultured bacterium. Its description in RNAcentral is "partial 16S ribosomal RNA". It matches the Rfam family "Bacterial small subunit ribosomal RNA", at positions 505 to 796 of the family's 1533-position model. The record is from RNAcentral.
GUGCCAGCAGCCGCGGUAAGACGAACCGAGCGAACGUUGUUCGGAAUCACUGGGCUUAAAGGGCGCGUAGGCGGGCCGCCGCGUCCGGGGUGAAAUCCUCCCGCUCAACGGGAGAACGGCCUCGGAUACGGGCGGUCUGGAGGGGGGUAGGGGCGUGCGGAACUGUGGGUGGAGCGGUGAAAUGCGUUGAUAUCCACAGGAACUCCGGUGGCGAAGGCGGCACGCUGGACCCCACCUGACGCUGAGGCGCGAAAGCCAGGGGAGCGAACGGGAUUAGAUACCCCCGUAGUCC